CACAUACAUUUUGUCGACUAUUCUUUUCCGUGAGUCAGGCCGCAAUUGAAUUCUCCAAUCACCCGUGUCCAUGACAGGUUCUCCGCCUGGGGCAGUGGGCCUCCAAUUAUUGGCAUCCAUGGGGUUUUGGCCAACCAAAAAAAAUCACUUCUAUCACCACAAAAAAAAAUAAUAAUUAUAUUGCACGUUAGAACAGACCCUAAAAAGAAAGUCAGGAACAGCAG
Molecule: long non-coding RNA, 224 nt
Organism: Populus euphratica (Euphrates poplar)
Lineage: Eukaryota; Viridiplantae; Streptophyta; Magnoliopsida; Malpighiales; Salicaceae
Exons: 2
Source: RefSeq, a predicted model, not a curated record